UUGACCUCGGAUUAGGUAGGAAUACCCGCUGAACUUAAGCAUAUCAAUAAGCGGA
RNAcentral lists this ribosomal RNA (55 nucleotides) under Daldinia concentrica. RNAcentral's name for it is "partial 28S ribosomal RNA". Lineage: Eukaryota; Fungi; Ascomycota; Sordariomycetes; Xylariales; Hypoxylaceae. RNAcentral also lists the same sequence under 5 other names. The record is from RNAcentral.